UGAGGAAUAUUGGUCAAUGGGCGGAAGCCUGAACCAGCCAUGCCGCGUGCAGGACGACGGCCCUACGGGUUGUAAACUGCUUUUCCGGGGGAAGAAUAACCCCCCUGCGGGGGGGGGAUGCCGGUACCCCGGGAAUAAGGAUCGGCUAACUCCGUGCCAGCAGCCGCGGUAAUACGGAGGAUCCUAGCGUUAUCCGGAUUUACUGGGUUUAAAGGGUGCGUAGGCGGGCGCUUAAGUCCGCGGUGAAAGUCUGCGGCUCAACCGUAGGAUUGCCGUGGCUACUGGGGGUCUUGGAUUCGGUCGGGGCGGGCGGAAUGCGUGGUGUAGCGGUGAAAUGCAUAGAUAUCACGCAGAACGCCGAUAGCGAAGGCAGCUCGCCGGGCCGACAUCGACGCUGAGGCACGAAAGCGUGGGGAUCAAACA
Molecule: ribosomal RNA, 423 nt
Filed under: uncultured bacterium
Lineage: Bacteria
Description: partial 16S ribosomal RNA
Rfam family: Bacterial small subunit ribosomal RNA
Source: RNAcentral